UGUUUUCUUUGGUAGCAAUAUAAUAAAAUUGGAACAGUACAAAGUCGACUAGUGUGUCCUCCGCACAAGGAUGACACACUAGUUUCUGAAGCUCUCUAUAUUUUU
Vombatus ursinus (common wombat) is the source of this 105-nucleotide small nuclear RNA. NCBI's taxonomy places the organism in Eukaryota, Metazoa, Chordata, Mammalia, Diprotodontia, Vombatidae. The record is from Ensembl.